This 865-nucleotide ribosomal RNA is filed under the name Glycomyces buryatensis. Its description in RNAcentral is "Glycomyces sp. 18 partial 23S ribosomal RNA". It matches the Rfam family "Bacterial large subunit ribosomal RNA", at positions 2062 to 2925 of the family's 2925-position model. Lineage: Bacteria; Bacillati; Actinomycetota; Actinomycetes; Glycomycetales; Glycomycetaceae. The record is from RNAcentral.
CUCGUUUCGCGCGGCAGGACGGAAAGACCCCGGGACCUUUACUAUAGCUUGGUAUUGGCAUAUUGUCUGGUUUGUGUAGGAUAGGCGGGAGCCUGGGAAGCUGCGACGCUAGUCGUGGUGGAGGCGUUGGUGAAAUACCGCUCUGAUGAGAUGAUGUGUCUCACCCGCGGCCCUGAUCGGGUCGGGGGACAGUGCCUGGUGGGUAGUUUAACUGGGGCGGUUGCCUCCUAAAUGGUAACGGAGGCGCCCAAUGGUACCCUCGGGCCGGUUGGAAACCGGUCGGUGAGUGUAAGCGUAUAAGGGUGCUUGACUGUGAGACUGACGGGUCGAGCAGGUGCGAAAGCAGGGGCUAGUGAUCCGGCACCGACGUACGGAUGUGGUGUCGCUCAACGGAUAAAAGGUACCCCGGGGAUAACAGGCUGAUCUUCCCCAAGAGUCCAUAUCGACGGGAUGGUUUGGCACCUCGAUGUCGGCUCGUCGCAUCCUGGGGCUGGAGUUGGUCCCAAGGGUUGGGCUGUUCGCCCAUUAAAGCGGCACGCGAGCUGGGUUUAGAACGUCGUGAGACAGUUCGGUCCCUAUCCGCCGCGCGCGCAGGAGAUUUGAUGAAGGGCUGUCCCUAGUACGAGAGGACCGGGAUGGACGAACCGCUGGUGUGCCAGUUGUCCCGCCAGGGGCAUGGCUGGUUGGCUACGUUCGGGAGCGAUAACCGCUGAAAGCAUCUAAGCGGGAAGCGUGCUUCGAGAUGAGAUCUCCGACAGUUUUUAAGCUGGUGAGGCGCCCGGAAGAUGACCGGGUUGAUAGGCCGGACAUGGAAGCGCCGUAAGGUGUGGAGUGGACCGGUACUAACCGCCGAGAACUUAACACU